Molecule: ribosomal RNA, 162 nt
Filed under: uncultured bacterium
Lineage: Bacteria
Description: partial 16S ribosomal RNA
Rfam family: Bacterial small subunit ribosomal RNA
Source: RNAcentral
AACGCCGCGUGAAUGAAGAAGGCCUUAGGGUCGUAAAGUUCUGUCCUUAGGGAAGAACCGUGGAUAUAGCAAAUGAUAUCCACCUGACGGUACCUUUGGAGGAAGCACUGGCUAACUACGUGCCAGCACCUGCGGUGACUGAGCGGGCUGGCAAGGCGCAUA